Molecule: ribosomal RNA, 533 nt
Filed under: uncultured bacterium
Lineage: Bacteria
Description: bacterial SSU rRNA
Rfam family: Bacterial small subunit ribosomal RNA
Source: RNAcentral
AUAGAUACCCAGGUAGUCCACGCCCUAAACGAUGCGAACUGGAUGUUGGGUACAUUACGGUACUCAGUGUCGAAGCUAACGCGUUAAGUUCGCCGCCUGGGGAGUACGGUCGCAAGACUGAAACUCAAAGGAAUUGACGGGGGCCCGCACAAGCGGUGGAGUAUGUGGUUUAAUUCGAUGCAACGCGAGGAACCUUACCUGGCCUUGACAUCUGUCGAAUCCUGCAGAGAUGCGGGAGUGCCGCAAGGAACGACAAGACAGGUGCUGCAUGGCUGUCGUCAGCUCGUGUCGUGAGAUGUUGGGUUAAGUCCCGCAACGAGCGCAACCCUUGUCCCUAGUUGCCAGCACGUAAUGGUGGGAACUCUAGGGAGACUGCCGGUGACGAACCGGAGGAAGGUGGGGAUGACGUCAAGUCCUCAUGGCCCUUACGGCCAGGGCUACACACGUACUACAAUGGUCGGUACAGAGGGUUNCGAAGCCGCGAGGUGGAGCCAAGUCCCAGAAAACCGAUCCCAGUCCGGAUCGGAGUCUGC